Molecule: long non-coding RNA, 364 nt
Filed under: Phascolarctos cinereus (koala)
Lineage: Eukaryota; Metazoa; Chordata; Mammalia; Diprotodontia; Phascolarctidae
Description: lncRNA (ENSPCIG00000016962.2)
Source: RNAcentral
AUGCUGUAGAAGACAAGCAGAUGUAAACACUGUGGAGAAAAUGCCUUAACAGUACAUAUAAUUAUCUUCCAGAUCAAGAAGCAUCUUGACGACAUCCCCAGAGUGGAUGAAACCAGUGCCUCUGUAAGGAGAACAUCAAGCAUCAGAGUCAGAAAUGGAGAAGGGUUUCUGCUGAGACACAGCCCAGGGAGCCUGGACAUUUGCCAUCCUGGAGACACAGCCCCAGUGUGUGAUUUAAGCCUCAAGAUGAAGGAAGAUAAUCUUAACUGAGGAAUAAUACUCUGCAGUCAAGCUGCUGAAGAAUGGGGCUGUGAGAUGAUUUCAACAAACAAUCCUUGACAGGAAACCAAAGGCAACAAUGCAC